Molecule: ribosomal RNA, 305 nt
Filed under: uncultured bacterium
Lineage: Bacteria
Description: bacterial SSU rRNA
Rfam family: Bacterial small subunit ribosomal RNA
Source: RNAcentral
CCUACGGGGCGCAGCAGUCGGGAAUAUUGCACAAUGGAGGAAACUCUGAUGCAGUGACACCGCGUAUAGGAAGAAGGUUUUCGGAUUGUAAACUAUUUUAGACAGGGAAGAAAAAAGACAGUACCUGUAGAAUAAGCUCCGGCUAACUACGUGCCAGCAGCCGCGGUAAUACGUAGGGAGCAAGCGUUAUCCGGAAUUAUUGGGUGUAAAGGGUGCGUAGACGGGACAGCAAGUUAGUUGUGAAAGCCCUCGGCUUAACUGAGGAACUGCAACUAAAACUAUUGUUCUUGAGUGCAGGAGAGGAA